This 187-nucleotide long non-coding RNA is filed under the name Callithrix jacchus (white-tufted-ear marmoset). Its description in RNAcentral is "lncRNA (ENSCJAG00000061439.2)". The record is from RNAcentral. Lineage: Eukaryota; Metazoa; Chordata; Mammalia; Primates; Cebidae.
GUACUUAGGUGUUCUUAUUUGCAAUUUUAAGGUGCCCAAGAAAUGAGAAGAAAGAACAAAGGCCAAGUCCAUUGGUCAAUUUGUACAAAAUAACUUGAGGCCUGGCCAGGUGUCCAUCCAGUUGAAUCAUCUGUCAUGUGGUUUCCAGCACGACUAAUCAUCUCGAAGUCUCCCUACAUCUCUGCGG